Long non-coding RNA from Gasterosteus aculeatus aculeatus (three-spined stickleback), 663 nucleotides. The record is from Ensembl. NCBI's taxonomy places the organism in Eukaryota, Metazoa, Chordata, Actinopteri, Perciformes, Gasterosteidae.
GCCACGUACAGGAGCGGGCGCCACGGCAGCGUGGAGGACGGGGAAAAAAGAAUAACAGCUCUGGCGACCUUCUACUCUCCUUCUGUGUCGGUCGAGGGAACAAAGAGGAAGAGGGAGAGGAAGAGGGAGAAGAAGAGGGAGAGGAAGAGGGGGGAAGCGCUGCGUUUCAGAGGACGGCGCUGUGACAGCAGAGGAGGACGAGGUGAUGUGUGUGUGCAGCGCGCUGGUUUGUAACACACCAGCAACACUACGGGUGGGUGUGUUUUAAGGAACCCUCCCGCCCUCAUCUUACCAAGAAGCCUGACCCGAGGUUACGCAAGCCAUGCUGAGGACCCGGAGACAGUCCUGCUAAACACCAUGACUCAGGUAUCUGACAUCCCGCUUCUAAGCCUUUAUUUUGAAGUCCGCUCGCUGGAUUUCCGGUACCGCCGCGGCCUGAAUGCCGGCGCGUGACGCUUCUCGUCGCGGGCCUGUUUGCGUUGUAGUCGCGCUGAGAAGAGGACCAGUUAGUCCACCGACGGGACUCCGUCCACGAUGCUGCGAGCCGAGUAGUUCUCCACCGGCCCCUCUUUGUUCGGCUCCCGCACGUUACCCGACGCUGGAACCCGAUGAAUGGAGUUACUUUUUGCCUUGUUGGAAUCCCGCCUCCCGCAGAAACUGAAG